Molecule: ribosomal RNA, 586 nt
Filed under: uncultured bacterium
Lineage: Bacteria
Description: partial 16S ribosomal RNA
Rfam family: Bacterial small subunit ribosomal RNA
Source: RNAcentral
UGGGGAAUUUUGGACAAUGGGCGAAAGCCUGAUCCAGCAAUGCCGCGUGUGUGAAGAAGGCCUUCGGGUUGUAAAGCACUUUUGUCCGGAAAGAAAUCCUUGGCUCUAAUACAGUCGGGGGAUGACGGUACCGGAAGAAUAAGCACCGGCUAACUACGUGCCAGCAGCCGCGGUAAUACGUAGGGUGCAAGCGUUAAUCGGAAUUACUGGGCGUAAAGCGUGCGCAGGCGGUUUGCUAAGACCGAUGUGAAAUCCCCGGGCUCAACCUGGGAACUGCAUUGGUGACUGGCAGGCUAGAGUAUGGCAGAGGGGGGUAGAAUUCCACGUGUAGCAGUGAAAUGCGUAGAGAUGUGGAGGAAUACCGAUGGCGAAGGCAGCCCCCUGGGCCAAUACUGAUGCUCAUGCACGAAAGCGUGGGGAGCAAACAGGAUUAGAUACCCUGGUAGUCCACGCCCUAAACGAUGUCAACUAGUUGUUGGGGAUUCAUUUUCCUUAGUAACGUAGCUAACGCGUGAAGUUGACCGCCUGGGGAGUACGGUCGCAAGAUUAAAACUCAAAUGAAUUGACGGGGUCAUAGCUGUUUCCU